UACGGGGGGAGCAAGCGUUGUUCGGAUUUACUGGGCGUAAAGGGCGCGUAGGCGGUCGUGACAAGUCACUUGUGAAAUCUCCGGGCUUAACUCGGAACGGUCAAGUGAUACUGUCGGACUAGAGUACAGAAGGGGCAACUGGAAUUCCCGGUGUAGAGGUGAAAUUCGUAGAUAUCGGGAGGAAUACCAGUGGCGAAGGCGGCGACCUGGGCCAAUACUGACGCUGAGGUGCGAAAGCGUGGGGAGCAAACAGG
Molecule: ribosomal RNA, 254 nt
Filed under: uncultured bacterium
Lineage: Bacteria
Description: partial 16S ribosomal RNA
Rfam family: Bacterial small subunit ribosomal RNA
Source: RNAcentral